UUUUCUGUGGCUCAGUUGGUAGAGCAUUGCACUAACAAUGCAAAGGAUGUGGGUUCAAAUCCCAGGGAAAAC
RNAcentral lists this transfer RNA (72 nucleotides) under Danionella cerebrum. RNAcentral describes it as "tRNA-Val". It matches the Rfam family "tRNA". From Rfam's summary of the family: Transfer RNA (tRNA) molecules are approximately 80 nucleotides in length. The record is from RNAcentral. Lineage: Eukaryota; Metazoa; Chordata; Actinopteri; Cypriniformes; Danionidae.